This 337-nucleotide long non-coding RNA is filed under the name Malus domestica (apple). RNAcentral's name for it is "long non-coding RNA (MDOM_LNC012251)". The record is from RNAcentral. Lineage: Eukaryota; Viridiplantae; Streptophyta; Magnoliopsida; Rosales; Rosaceae.
CUCCCCCAUGAUAGGGUGAAGCUGGUGCAUGAGUCACAAACGAUUGAAGCCCACCACGGUGGAAGGCCUACGAAGAGAUGUUCAAAACAUCUCUCGCUUAUCAACUUAAUAUUCGUUUGUCGAGGGAGUAGUUUUGGGCUACAUCAAAAUCAUUUUAAUCAUAUUAAAAGAACAUGGGCCUAUCACAACUAUUGGUCCAAGUUAAUAUGAUUUUAGUAGUUUAUAAUACUCCCACUAUUUCGAAGAAAUAAGUGAGACUAUAUGGAACUACUAACGGAUGCAUUGCAUCCUCAUAUGGACUAUAUAGUCAUAUUAGGUUUUAGGAUGAUUAUGAACC